Molecule: long non-coding RNA, 1057 nt
Organism: Oreochromis aureus
Lineage: Eukaryota; Metazoa; Chordata; Actinopteri; Cichliformes; Cichlidae
Source: Ensembl
CUAACAUUCAGUGAUCAUGUGUUCAGACUCAUAAUGAUUACUCUCAUAAAUCCUGAUCUUUGUAUUUACUGUGUGUUGGAUCAAUAACUGAGAUUCAUCGUAUCACACAGCUGUGCUGCUGCUGCUGCUGCUGGUGAUGUCAGCACAUCUGGAACAAUACGAGGUAUCUGCUACCAGACUGAGCAGGACGUGAGACCUGUGGACUGUUUAAAGCUGUCCCUCCACAGCUCACUCAGACCUGAUCCACACCUCAGUGAGAUUCUCUGACUUCCUCAGUAGAGACAGAAACCAUUCAGAUCUGGGACGAUCAGCUGACUGAUGAUGUCACACAGACUGUGUUUUUCAGGAACAGUGAUUCUGAUGUGAGCCUGCUAGCUGACAGCAGACCUGAUGAAACCACAUGUUGACAUCUGUGAGGACAGACUGGACUCUUUGACUGCACCUUGGUUCUCCUCAGAGGUCUGUACAGGAGCAUGUCCACCCCACUGAAGAUCUCAGUCACUGUGAAACAUAGAAAGCUGCUUGUGUGGCCUCUGCCUCACAUGUAGAUGCAGCUACAGGUUUCUGAACUGAGCUCACAGUGUUCAUUCAGUGAACUACUCAGUUUAUUUUGGGCCUCAGAAAUGCUCACUCUGUUUGUACAUCACUGUCAGCAAUAGACUCAUUCUGCUGUGUGGACAGGAACACAUGUGACAUCACUUCCUGUUUGUUUGUGACUGAAGAGGAAGAAGUUUACAAGGAAUCAUUUAAAAGAGUUUCAAACAUCAACUGAUUGAAUCCAUGAAUCUGAAAACGUGUUUGUGAGUGAAAGAGACAGACAUGUACAGACUGAACUAUCUGUUCAACAGUCAGAGUGUUUCUCUAACAGGAGACACUCUUUACACUCAGCACAGGGACACUGAGGAACCAGGAGACAAGAACCUAAACCCAGGAUAAAGAGUUUGAGUGAAUGUGGUGUUGAAGGUGUGGAGGUGGAUCAGAGUGUCAGAGGAGACUCUGUAGAAGGACAGAGUGCCAGCAGGACAGUCUACAUACACUGCUACUCUGUUAGAGACAG